GACGAACGCUGGCGGCGUGCUUAACACAUGCAAGUCGAACGGAAAGGCCCUGCUUUUGUGGGGUGCUCGAGUGGCGAACGGGUGAGUAACACGUGAGUAACCUGCCCUUGACUUUGGGAUAACUUCAGGAAACUGGGGCUAAUACCGGAUAGGAGCUCCUGCUGCAUGGUGGGGGUUGGAAAGUUUCGGCGGUUGGGGAUGGACUCGCGGCUUAUCAGCUUGUUGGUGGGGUAGUGGCUUACCAAGGCUUUGACGGGUAGCCGGCCUGAGAGGGUGACCGGCCACAUUGGGCCUGGGAUACGGCCCAGACUCCUACGGUAGGCAGCAGUGGGGAAUAUUGCACAAGGGGCGGAAGCCUGAUGCAGCAACGCCGCGUGCGGGAUGACGGCCUUCGGGUUGUAAACCGCUUUCGCCUGUGACGAAGCGUGAGUGACGGUAAUGGGUAAAGAAGCACCGGCUAACUACGUG
RNAcentral lists this ribosomal RNA (468 nucleotides) under uncultured bacterium. Its description in RNAcentral is "partial 16S ribosomal RNA". It matches the Rfam family "Bacterial small subunit ribosomal RNA", at positions 28 to 507 of the family's 1533-position model. The record is from RNAcentral.